CAGAAACUGGAACCAGGAAAUCCCUAGUUCCCCACACGAUCCUCUUCCUCUAUAAAGCCUCGCCCCCGCGACACAGAUGCACCCAGUCGCGCACUGAAACCCCCCACGCCAUCAUCGCCCCAUCAACGCGCAGCUCGCGUAACAUUUGCAGGCCCUCAUCGUCCCCUCGAGGUCUCCGUUUGCCAUGGCGGACCAGCUCAGCGAGGAGCAGAUUGGCGAGUUCAAGGAGGCCUUCAGCCUCUUCGACAAGGACGGCGAUGGCAGCAUCACCACCAAGGAGCUUGGAACCGUGAUGCGCUCCCUUGGCCAGAACCCGACCGAGGCAGAGCUGCAGGACAUGAUCAACGAGGUGGAUGCGGACGGCAACGGCACCAUCGACUUCCCAGAGUUCCUGAACCUGAUGGCCCGCAAGAUGAAGGACACCGACUCAGAGGAGGAGCUCAAGGAGGCGUUCCGUGUGUUCGACAAGGACCAGAACGGUUUCAUCUCUGCAGCGGAGCUCCGCCAGGUGAUGACCAACCUCGGGGAGAAGCUUUCCGAGGAGGUGGAGGAGAUGGUCCGCGAGGCCGACGUGGAUGGCGACGGCCAGAUCAACUACGACGAGUUCGUCAAGGUCAUGAUGGCCAAGAGAAGGGAGAAGAGGAUAGAGGAGAGGAGAGCGCCGUCGGCCAAGAAGAGCGCUGCAGGGGCGUCUGGUGCAAAGGGCAACAAAUGCAUAAUCCUCUAGCUGAAACCAUCGAGCGUGCAUAGUGUGUGUGGUGCGCUCGGAGCGCUGGUCCCCGACCGACGCAUCUGAGCUGUUGUAUGUAUCAAUGUAUGUUCAUGUGUAUCCCGGUGUAUGAUGGCCAUCGGCCUACGACUGUAACCAUUCUCAAGGUAAACGAAUAAAGUUGCUCUGUGUCUUGCAGAAAAAGAAGAAAGUGUAGAUACAAGGCGUGGCGGAGCUUGAGACUUUUGUUUCGAAUCAAAGUGACUGAUUGAUCUCAUCGAUGGUUACAGGAUGCCAUUUAUAUGGUCCGGAGGGAUACAACGGUUCGGACAAGACGUUGGUUCCAGACCAGAUGCGUCCGUGCGGGAGGCAACCGCACGGCGGUUGGGC
Molecule: ribosomal RNA, 1099 nt
Filed under: Triticum aestivum (bread wheat)
Lineage: Eukaryota; Viridiplantae; Streptophyta; Magnoliopsida; Poales; Poaceae
Description: partial small subunit ribosomal RNA
Source: RNAcentral